RNAcentral lists this ribosomal RNA (468 nucleotides) under uncultured bacterium. RNAcentral's name for it is "partial 16S ribosomal RNA". It matches the Rfam family "Bacterial small subunit ribosomal RNA", at positions 28 to 507 of the family's 1533-position model. The record is from RNAcentral.
GACGAACGCUGGCGGCGUGCCUAACACAUGCAAGUCGAACGGAAAGGCCCGGCUCUUGUGGGGUGCUCGUGUGGCGAACGGGUGAGUAACACGCGAGUAACCUGCCCUUGACUUUGGGAUAACUUCAGGAAACUGGGGCUAAUACCGGAUAGGAGCUCCUGCUGCAUGGUGGGGGUUGGAAAGUUUCGGCGGUUGGGGAUGGACUCGCGGCUUAUCAGCUUGUUGGUGGGGUAGUGGCUUACCAAGGCUUUGACGGGUAGCCGGCCUGAGAGGGUGACCGGCGACAUUGGGACUGAGGUACGGAGCAGACUGCUACGGGAGGCAGCGGUGGAGAAUAUUGCGCAAUAGGCGGAAGCCUGAUGCAGAAGCGCCGCGUGCGGGAUGACGGCCUACGGGUUGUAAACAGCUUUCGCCGGUGACGAAGCGUGAGUGACGGUAAUGGGUAAAGAAGCACCGGCUAACUACGUG